CCUACGGGAGGCAGCAGUGGGGAAUAUUGGGCAAUGGAGGCAACUCUGACCCAGCAACGCCGCGUGAAUGAUGAAGGUCUUCGGAUUGUAAAGCUCUGUGAUGGGGGAUGAACACAAUGACGGUACCCCAAUAGCAAGCCACGGCUAACUACGUGCCAGCAGCCGCGGUAAUACGUAGGUGGCAAGCGUUGUCCGGAAUGACUGGGCGUAAAGUGCGCGUAGGUGGUUUAGUAAGUUGGCGGUGUAAUUCCCGGGCUCAACCUGGGCGCGCCCGCGAAAACUCUGAGACUUGAGUGCAGGAGGGGUGAGUGGAAUUCCUAGUGUAGCGGUGGAAUGCGUAGAUAUAAGGAGGAACAUCAGGGGCGAAGGCGACUUACUGGACUGUAACUGACGCUGAGGCACGAAAGCGUGGGGAGCAAACAGGAUUAGAUACCCUAGUAGUC
RNAcentral lists this ribosomal RNA (443 nucleotides) under uncultured bacterium. Its description in RNAcentral is "partial 16S ribosomal RNA". It matches the Rfam family "Bacterial small subunit ribosomal RNA", at positions 338 to 795 of the family's 1533-position model. The record is from RNAcentral.